UUGAAAACCAUCAGAUCUUGUGAGACUCAUUCCCUAUCAUGAAAACAGUGCAGGAAAAAACUGUCCCUGUAAUUCAAUUACCUCCCACAACACAUGGGAAUUCAAGAUGAGAUUUGGGUGGGCAUACAGCCAAACCAUGUUGGUGGUGGGGGCCAUAAGUCAGCCUCUUAUAAGGGGUAUUAUUUCUUACAUUGGCAGUUAAAUUCCUAAAUAAACAAUGGGCUAAAUCAACCCUUCUUAACCUGGUACACCUUAAUGGUUUGUGAAAUUUUAGAAGUAUAUGCUUUCAUUAGGUUCUUAGUUUCCCAAAAGGCUAAGAGUUCAAACAAUGUUUACUUACUGGUAGUGAUGCAAACUGGGAACUUGAUUCAGUAUCUCUGUGUUUAACAGUUUUUUGUUUGCUUGUACACAGGUAUAGGAACCUAAUUUCCAUCUUAAUCAGUUUCUAUAGGAUGGGGACAUUCUGAGUUCAAAACAAUAUAUAAAAUCUUGAAAGGUAUCCUAUUCACAAGCUGAGGCUACCUACUCUUGGAGUAAAGAAGAAUAAUUGAGUUUAAUGAAUUUCAGUGGAUGAGCAUAUGAGAAUCUCAACUAUUGUAACAGGAUUUCAAAGGAAAGCAAUUCUAUCUGCCAAGAAAAGAGGACACAUAUUUAGAGAAUGGUUAUUCAGCAGGCAGAGGAGGAGAGGGACUUUUCCUUCAUGGAUGUCAGAGGACUUCGGUAGGCUCAGCUAUAACAGUUUACAAGCUCAAAAAGUGUGUAAUGGUGGCAGAAAGGAGUUAGUCCUAGAGGGUAUCCCUGGGGAAUAUGAAACAUGAUCAUAAAGAGAUGAAAAUGUGCUUCUCCAAACCCCUUAAAGGGCAAAACCUGAAGAAGCAGGCUUAUGUGUGAAAUACGGGGCUCAAUGAAACACCUCCUUAUAGUUGGAUUCUUGGAGAGGUUGUUGAAUUUCCAUAGCUGAAUAUGAUUAAAAUGACAGGAAGGUUUUGGGUCUGGGAUAUUUUGAAUACAAACUUUUGGAAAUAAAGGAAAGCUGAGUACUAUGUGAAACUUCCUUUUCAAUUCUGUUAGCUGAUGGUGAAUAUACACCACAUUUCUUUCUACCUGCUUUUCCCUGAUUUGCUGUAUACCUUGAAUCACAAAGGAUAAUGAAAUUAUGACCUUUAACAAUAUUUAUUGCUUGACUACAGGUUUCAUACUGGUUGAUAAUUUGUUGUGAAGUGAGUCAUUAACAAUAAAGUUACUAUUCACAGAG
This is a long non-coding RNA of Chlorocebus sabaeus (green monkey), 1255 nucleotides long. RefSeq lists it as uncharacterized. The record is from RefSeq and is a predicted model, not a curated record. Lineage: Eukaryota; Metazoa; Chordata; Mammalia; Primates; Cercopithecidae.